RNAcentral lists this ribosomal RNA (497 nucleotides) under uncultured bacterium. RNAcentral's name for it is "partial 16S ribosomal RNA". It matches the Rfam family "Bacterial small subunit ribosomal RNA", at positions 28 to 507 of the family's 1533-position model. The record is from RNAcentral.
GAUGAACGCUGGCGGCGUGCCUAAUACAUGCAAGUCGAGCGAACAGACGAGGAGCUUGCUCCUCUGACGUUAGCGGCGGACGGGUGAGUAAAACGUGGAUAACCUACCUAUAAGACUGGGAUAACUUCGGGAAACCGGAGCUAAUACCGGAUAAUAUAUUGAACCGCAUGGUUCAAUAGUGAAAGACGGUUUUGCUGUCACUUAUAGAUGGAUCCGCGCCGCAUUAGCUAGUUGGUAAGGUAACGGCUUACCAAGGCAACGAUGCGUAGCCGACCUGAGAGGGUGAUCGGCCACACUGGAACUGAGACACGGUCCAGACUCCUACGGGAGGCAGCAGUAGGGAAUCUUCCGCAAUGGGCGAAAGCCUGACGGAGCAACGCCGCGUGAGUGAUGAAGGUCUUCGGAUCGUAAAACUCUGUUAUUAGGGAAGAACAAAUGUGUAAGUAACUAUGCACGUCUUGACGGUACCUAAUCAGAAAGCCACGGCUAGCUACGUG